This 499-nucleotide ribosomal RNA is filed under the name uncultured bacterium. Its description in RNAcentral is "bacterial SSU rRNA". It matches the Rfam family "Bacterial small subunit ribosomal RNA", at positions 32 to 507 of the family's 1533-position model. The record is from RNAcentral.
GACGACGCUGGCGGCGUGCCUAAUACAUGCAAGUCGAGCGGAAUGAUGAAGAAGCUUGCUUCUUCUGAUUUUAGCGGCGGACGGGUGAGUAACACGUGGGCAACCUACCUUGUAGAUUGGGAUAACCCCGGGAAACCGGGGCUAAUACCGAAUAAUCCAUUUUGCUUCAUGGCGAGAUGUUGAAAGACGGUUUCGGCUGUCACUACAAGAUGGGCCCGCGGCGCAUUAGCUAGUUGGUAGGGUAAUGGCCUACCAAGGCGACGAUGCGUAGCCGACCUGAGAGGGUGAUCGGCCACACUGGGACUGAGACACGGCCCAGACUCCUACGGGAGGCAGCAGUAGGGAAUCUUCCACAAUGGACGAAAGUCUGAUGGAGCAACGCCGCGUGAGUGAAGAAGGUUUUCGGAUCGUAAAACUCUGUUGUAAGGGAAGAACACGUACGAGAGUAACUGCUCGUACCUUGACGGUACCUUAUUAGAAAGCCACGGCUAACUACGUG